This 334-nucleotide long non-coding RNA is filed under the name Mustela putorius furo (domestic ferret). Its description in RNAcentral is "lncRNA (ENSMPUG00000030644.1)". Lineage: Eukaryota; Metazoa; Chordata; Mammalia; Carnivora; Mustelidae. The record is from RNAcentral.
CAUUUAUAUGUCUGAUAGGGGAUUGGAUAAACAGGAGAGUCUCUGCCUCCCUGAAAAGAAAUCCAAAUAAAUUGGAUUCCCUUUGGCUAAAGGAAGAACCUGGAACCAGCAGCAUCAGCCAAAGAGAGCAGAGAAAGGUUUAGAAAGAGAGCAUAUUGGAGGCAGAAAAAGACUUUCAGCAGAGAGUGCAGUGGACGAAGAGUUCUGCCUCUCCCCUUCCUGUUUGCCUUGGGUGAUAUUGUUUGAAAACAUGAUGCUUGGAAGUAUGACAAUCAUCUUACGACCACGAGAGAAAGGCCAGGAGAACUAUAGCGACAGCAGUCCAGCAUCCUGA